CGUUUGACGGACCACAACCUUCGGCCGACGGCCAGGUUUCGCCGCGGCUUCACGGACGACCCGUCCGGCAGCGCGUGCGCGUGUGAAAGACGGUGGCACGUCUGUCACGUGUCCGCGGUUGUAGAUGCUGCACACAACGCUCCGCACACCUGCACCAAAUGUAGGUCGAGGGGCACAACAUUAAGGACGACUCCAAGGCGACGUUACAGUAAAUGCAUUGGCAAGGAUGAGAUCCUGCCUCAGCAUGCCCAUCAAUCAUCUCAGACAGAACACCGCAUCACUCUUGCCUGGUGCCCAAGGCCAAACGUUUCAACAUGCUGCGCUGAAGUACAGGUGGACCUCUUGUGACAGCUCUGUCGAACAAUUCAUCUUCUUGUCUACCUACCAAGUUCUUGGUGAGAAGUACGGAGACUUGUUGGAGGUAAAGGGUGACUGUCGCACAGCGAAAGAGAAAAACAAGAUGUGAACCAGGCAUGGCAGUAUCAACCUGAGAAGCCUAGCAUUGGGAGAAGAAGCAGAAACGUGAUGCCUCGGGCAUGUAAUUGCCACGAGGUGCACGCCACCUUUCAAGGAAGACAUGGUUUGCCAAACGUCACCGUCGAAGUACUCAGGGUGCCUGAAAUCUGCACUGUCAAAGGUCCUUUGAUGGGUAACGACCUUCUUUGUUCGCUGCCAUCGCAAAAGAUAUUUGCAGCAGAUGCAUCAACAACCAACUUUGCGUCAGAUGCAGCGAUCAACUUUCUUGUCGAAUUGAACAUCUAUUGGCUAGUCGUGGCCGGAUGGAUCAAACGUCUUGAGACUGUGCCUAGUGGGGUGGUGCAGGGCAAGUCCAGCAGCAAGUUGUUCCCAGGUUCCACUAUUUAUACAGCAGUGCUACCUCUCGUUGGUGGGGAUCACAUUGACAAUGAUAACAACUUGGACCUUACUAAAAUGUGGCAACUUGAUCUGAUGGAAAUCAUGGUUGUUGGCAUCCAAAUUACCACCUCAAAAGUUGGCUCGGCAGGUGACUUCAAGGCCGCAGUGCAGCUGGAAGGAAGGGCAAUAUAUUGUGCCACUUUGGAUCAAGUCUCCUGCUCUCAUGUCGGACACCAUCCGCGCGGUUUACAGAAUUGUGCUUGAAGCGUGAGUGACAGUAUUUAUGACAUUGUCUUGAUCUUCUUCCGGCUGUAAAGACAAAGGUACAAAUCAAGCUCAACAUUUUUCAGUGAAAGCUGUUAUGAGAUCACAACAGCAGCCAGUUUUGGUGCCAUAGUUGUCCUCCGCCUGUGUUCAUAACCGCUAUCACGCACGAUAAAAAUAAUAAAGGAUCGAGGGGGAUUUGAACCCUGGCCCUGUGCAUGGCAGUCGAGUAUUCUACCACAGAGCCACACCGGUGCUUGGAGCUCCUUCGCAAAAAGACCCCAUUCAGGUGUUAUGUUUGGCAAGGAGUCACGUUAACAAAUGUAAUAUAGCAUGGCAAAGAGUAAAACAACCAGGCGUCACACAAUGCGAAUUUCUUAAUGAGUGGAUGGUUUAAAGUUUCCCACCCAUUACGAAUGGCUCAGCCAAAAUUCUUCAUAUCAUCAGCAACAACAUCAACAAAGUGCACAUAAUGCCUUGCAGAUGGGUAAUACGUAGGUACCUAGCUUCUCCGCAGAGUGAUGAACAAUGGCAUAGCGGGUGCUUCCCUACUUCUUGAAAUUCUGAUGAUUAGUGGCAUAGUGGGCGCCUUGCAACUGUACUUGUGGUAGUCAGCCCAAGAGAGUUUACAACAGGUUUAGAAAGGCUUCUCCUCCAGUUAUCGCUAUGACUGUGCUGUGUGUUCCGCGCAGGCCUGGCGUUUUUUUCUUAUGUCGUCAGCAAACAUUCCAUCAACAGUGUAUUCGACGAUGAGCCAUACAUUUCUCACUCGAGAUAUAAUAUAGUGCCUUUGGUGCUGGUUGUUCAUAGUAGUUGCCGCUCCAACGAAACGUCCACCAACAUAUUUAUCACCGCUCUUUUUUCUGUCACCGUAGCCACUAAAGUAAGGAGAGUGAACACCGCCAGCCACAGCACCAAGUCUAACAUAUUGACAGUGUUAAGGCCUUGUAUGGCUUUCUUUGGCGACAAUGGCAAUAGUCACACCAAGAACCUAAAAAAAAUUAUACGCAGCUUCG
Long non-coding RNA from Rhipicephalus sanguineus (brown dog tick), 2135 nucleotides. RefSeq lists it as uncharacterized. The transcript is spliced from 4 exons. NCBI's taxonomy places the organism in Eukaryota, Metazoa, Arthropoda, Arachnida, Ixodida, Ixodidae. The record is from RefSeq and is a predicted model, not a curated record.